UACGUAGGGGGCAAGCGUUGUCCGGAAUCAUUGGGCGUAAAGAGCGUGUAGGCGGCCCGGUAAGUCCGCUGUGAAAGUCCAGGGCUCAACCCUGGGAUGCCGGUGGAUACUGUCGGGCUCGAGUCCGGAAGAGGAGUGUGGAAUUCCUGGUGUAGCGGUGAAAUGCGCAGAUAUCAGGAGGAACGCCAAUGGCGAAGGCAGCACUCUGGGACGUGACUGACGCUGAGACGCGAAAGCGUGGGGAGCAAACAGG
RNAcentral lists this ribosomal RNA (253 nucleotides) under uncultured bacterium. RNAcentral describes it as "partial 16S ribosomal RNA". It matches the Rfam family "Bacterial small subunit ribosomal RNA", at positions 524 to 776 of the family's 1533-position model. The record is from RNAcentral.